Molecule: RNA transcript, 1323 nt
Organism: Lycium ferocissimum
Lineage: Eukaryota; Viridiplantae; Streptophyta; Magnoliopsida; Solanales; Solanaceae
Exons: 8
Source: RefSeq, a predicted model, not a curated record
GGAAAAACAGCCAGGAAAAGUAUUUCAUACAUCGAAUUUCGAGGAGAAUAUUCGUAAUCUCUGGGAACAUUUGAAAAUGCAUAGCAUAACACGCUCAACUGGGAGGUUACUGUAAGGUGAAUUCGGCGAAGCAGUGAGUUUUUUCUUCAAUUGUUGAGCGAAGCAAAAGUCUCAAAAUCCAUUGAUGGAAGCCAAUGAAGCUCAAUUACCGACUUCUCCAUCAAGUUUCAAUUUCAGCCAACAACGUCAUUUCUAUCUAGCCGUCGAUAGACUUCACUUCAAAAUGGAGACUUUGGUGGAUCUGUUAGGUAUGGCUGGGCGGCUACGGUGCCUACCUAUUGUAGUUAGUUGCAGCACACGUGACGAGCUCGACGCUGUCUGCUCCGCCCUUUCCAGUCUCUCACAUACUACAAUCGCCGCUCUGUACAGUGAUCUUGCUGAAGCGGAACGUGCAACGGUUUUAGCUAGGUUUCGACAGGCUACAAUGAGGUGGAACAAGCAGGCUACAGCUGAACAUGGACAUGCAGGGGAAACAGAGAAGGAAGAGGAGAAAUCUCAUUUGGUAGUUGUCACGGAUGCUUGCCUUCCCCUUGUAAACUCCGGGGAGUCACCUAUUAAUGCUCGUGUCUUGAUUAAUUAUGAGCUACCAACAAAGAAGGAAACAUAUAUGAGGCGCAUGGCUACUUGUUUGGCAGCAGAUGGAAUUGUGAUCAACAUGGUUGUUGGAGGCGAAGUUGUUACUCUCAAAAGCAUUGAAGAAAGUAGUGGCCUUCUCAUAGCAGAAAUGCCCAUCAAUAUUUUUGAGAUGCUGUGAAGAUAUGAGGCCCUGCAAACGUCAUCUGAACAAAUGAGAUUUCAAGUAAUUAGAUUGUCUGAAGCCAAAUAAGUUCAUUGGGAUUUUUCCAAGAAGAUUUUGGAAUUGGCCUACUCAGGCCCAGAUCAAUGAAUUGGUUGCAAGAUGUGGAGCAUAUUUUUUUGGUCUAGCGUUUAGUCCCCACACUGUUAAACAGGUUACUUUUGUGUCUGCUUUGAAGAUAAAGACACCCAUUAAAAUCUUGUCUCCAAGAGAGAUUGUAGCGACUAUGGAGAUGGAGAAAUAGGUAUAUGUACGCAGAGUUGGAAGAUAUUACUAAGAAGAAAGAAGCAAAACAAGGCUAUUAAAAAACAAGACUAUUUUUGUGGGAAGGUAAGAUGUAUUUUUCUCCUGGUCGUUUUUUUUUCCCUAGUCGAUGUCUAAUCUCACAUACAGUUAGAUCCCCUGAAUUGUAGUCGAAUAAAGUUUUAUGCCCAAUUAGCUAUAAUAUUCUUGAUACACCUUGCAAA